GAUGAAGAACGCAGCGAAAUGCGAUAAGUAAUGCGAAUUGCAGAAUUUCCGUGAGUCAUCGAAUCUUUGAACGCACAUUGCGCCCACUGGUAUUCCGGUGGGCAUGCCUGUUCGAGCGUCAUUUCAACCAUCAAGCCCCAGGCUUGCGUUGGAGCCCUGCGGCUGCCGCAGCCUCCUAAAAGCAGUGGCGGGCUCGCUAUCACACCGAGUGCAGUAGAUUACUCUUCGCUCAGGGCGUGCAGCGGGUUCCGGCCGUGAAACCCCCUACUUUUAAAGGUUGACCUCGGAUCAGGUAGGAAUACCCGCUGAACUUAAGCAUAUCAAUAAGCGGAGGA
Molecule: unclassified non-coding RNA, 335 nt
Filed under: soil metagenome
Description: partial contains 5.8S ribosomal RNA, internal transcribed spacer 2, and large subunit ribosomal RNA
Rfam family: 5.8S ribosomal RNA (bases 1-121)
Source: RNAcentral